UUCAUUCAUGUCAGUUUAUAUUCCAAAAUUAAACAUUAAAACAUUGUUUUAUUGUGAUUUUUUUUCCAAGCACAUUUGACCAAUUCCAAACCAUAUCAAUCUUAAUAACUACCAUUAUUUUUCAUUUAAUCAUUUAUGAGUGCUAUACAAUAGUCCAGGAAAGCUGGAAGAGAAAAACUCCUUAUAUUCAUGUGUGCAGAAUUAUUAGGCAUGUUUUCUUUUACAGAUGAAAUGCGCUAAAAAAGAGUUUUAACUCAAACUGUAAAGUCGAAAAUUAUGAAAUACCCAUGAUAAAUAUCAAACACACAUGCAAUACAGAAAUGGAUAAGUUAAGACUUGACCAUUGUACAAAAAAUGCUGACUGGGUCAUGAGGUCAGAAAAGAAGAAGAAAAAAACAGGUCAAGAAGAACUGACAAAAAGAAUUGCAAAAUAAUUAGGAAUUAAUGUGAAGAUUAAUUUUUAGUCAAUUCUGCAAGACAGACUUUCAGGAAAGGAGGUGGAAUAAAAAUGAGCUCCUAAAUCUUAAUCCCGGAUUCUGGAAGAUAUAUUCCUCAAACCAUCGGACAAGAGGAGGUGCUGCUGGUCCUUCACGAGUCACUCUAAUCUGUUCAUAAAGCCUAUAUAUAAAGUCUUAAUAUAUAGUAUUUCACAAUACUUCAUGGUAUUCUAAUUCAAUCAUUUUUUGGAAUCUUAGAUCUCUCAGAACCUGACACAUUGUAAUUCUGAGACUCCAGGAAAGUGGCAGUUCUGUAAAAUGUUGGCGCUGGAGACUAAAUGCUCCCUGAUAGUUUCACACCUAAUUCAUUU
Molecule: long non-coding RNA, 808 nt
Organism: Carassius gibelio (silver crucian carp)
Lineage: Eukaryota; Metazoa; Chordata; Actinopteri; Cypriniformes; Cyprinidae
Exons: 3
Source: RefSeq, a predicted model, not a curated record